Daphnia pulicaria is the source of this 420-nucleotide long non-coding RNA. RefSeq lists it as uncharacterized. Lineage: Eukaryota; Metazoa; Arthropoda; Branchiopoda; Diplostraca; Daphniidae. The record is from RefSeq and is a predicted model, not a curated record. The transcript has 3 exons.
UGAGGCUCUGACUCUGAGCCAUGUCUGAACUCUGAACUGUAAAGACUGUUGAAUAUGUGAAGCCGAUUUUUCAAAUCUAUUGUUGAAUUAGAAUCUGUCCCAAAUUAUCUUUAGCUAAUGAGCCAAAUGAUAAAAUCAUAGAUUCAUUCAAUUGGCCUUGAUCCUCAGCAAUCUUCGUUUCUUCUCGGUGUCGGUCUCGGUUUUAAAAGUGCUACUCAGUAUACUAUACCGGUACUCUUAUCGACAAAACGACUUACACGCAUCCGGGAGGCGAUGUCAGCCGAUGCCCCCACUUCGCCGCACAAUAGGCAUGAACGUUCAUGAACCAACCCCACGACAUUUAUUCCGCCAAUCCAGCCAUCCGCCAUCACUCGACAUUCGACCCAUUCCAAUCCCCAGCAACGUCAACCUGCAGAAGGA